CACAUGCAAGUCUCAGCAGUCCUGUGAAAACGCCCUUUCCCAAUCGGGCUAAGGGGCUGGUAUUAGGCGCAGAAUUCUUGCCCACAACACCUAGUCUUACCACACCUACAAAGGCCUUCAGCAGUGAUAAAAAUUGUUCAUAAGCGUCAGCUUGAAUCAGUUAUGGAAAAGAGAGCCGGCCAAUCCGGUGCCAGCCGCCGCGGCUAGACCGUUGGGCUCAAAUUGAUAGUGACCGGCGUUAAGCGUGAUUAGAGGAAAGACAGAAUUAGAGUUAAAUUUAUACUUAGCUGUGAAAAGCUUGUUACUUAGAAGCCCAAAAACGAAAGUUACUCUAAUACACCCCCUUGAAUACACGACAGUUAGGAAACAAACUGGGAUUAGAUA
This 384-nucleotide ribosomal RNA is filed under the name Zhangixalus dennysi (Blanford's whipping frog). Its description in RNAcentral is "partial 12S ribosomal RNA". Lineage: Eukaryota; Metazoa; Chordata; Amphibia; Anura; Rhacophoridae. The record is from RNAcentral.